CCUACGGGUGGCAGCAGUGAGGAAUAUUGGUCAAUGGCCGGAAGGCUGAACCAGCCAUGCCGCGUGAAGGUCAGUGCCCUAUGGGCGUUAAACUUCUUUUGUGCGGGAGCAAUAAUGGUCACGUGUGGCCAGACGAGAGUACCGUACGACUAAGCAUCGGCUAACUCCGUGCCAGCGGCCGCGGUAAUACGGGGGAUGCAAGCGUUUUCCGGAUUUCUUGGGUUUAAAGGGUGCGUAGGCUGUGAGGUAAGUCAGCGGUGAAAUGCCCCGGCGCAACGGGGUGAAGUGCCAUUGAUACUGCCUUGCUUGAAUGCGGAUGCGGUGGGAGGAAUGUGUGGUGUAGCGGUGAAAUGCAUAGAUAUCACACAGAACACCGAUUGCGAAGGCAUCUCACGGAUCCGCGAUUGACGCUGAUGCACGAAAGCGUGGGUAUCAAACAGGAUUAGAUACCCUGGUAGUC
Molecule: ribosomal RNA, 460 nt
Filed under: uncultured bacterium
Lineage: Bacteria
Description: partial 16S ribosomal RNA
Rfam family: Bacterial small subunit ribosomal RNA
Source: RNAcentral